GGUCUAUUAGUCUAGUUGGUUAGGACGUCGGAUUCUGACUUAUCAAUCAUAUCCUUCCGUAGGCCCAGGUUCGAAUCCUGGAUGGACCU
Molecule: non-coding RNA, 89 nt
Organism: Colletotrichum zoysiae
Lineage: Eukaryota; Fungi; Ascomycota; Sordariomycetes; Glomerellales; Glomerellaceae
Source: the annotation of a GenBank genome assembly